Molecule: long non-coding RNA, 564 nt
Organism: Drosophila miranda
Lineage: Eukaryota; Metazoa; Arthropoda; Insecta; Diptera; Drosophilidae
Exons: 3
Source: RefSeq, a predicted model, not a curated record
CGGAUCCAUCUUCAGCGCUCCUCCUCCCACUAUAAAUCCCAGACGCUCGGCAACCUGUCGCAGAAUCUUAACGUGCGUUUGGAAGUCCUCAGCUAUAAUCAGCAAGUCGUCGAGAUACGCAUAGACGUUUGAACGCAUCUCAACCGGAAUCACCUUAUCGACCAGUCUACAUAGGCGUUGUGCGGCGUUGCAGAUGCCAAAGGGCAUCAUACGGAACUGGUACAGAGGCCGUCCCGGCACUUGCCAAAAAGCGAAUUUUAAGUCGACGCUGGAGAUAUAUAUCGUCUGAUCGAGACGCGACAAAAUCCCCUCGAUGCUAGGAAGUGGGCCCCUUCUGUGAGCGUGAUUCGCCUGCUUGCAUCGCACCCCUCUUCACGUUUCCCGCGCAAUUCGGACAGGUUGGACAAUAUGCAUCGGGCUUUCCACACCGGUAGCAGAAAAUUCGCCUCUCCGAUGUCAUACAGUCCCUAAAGCCAUGAUCGGUCUGCCCGCAGUUCCAGCAAAUCAACUUCUGUGGAACACGCUGUGUCAUUUGCGCUUCCUCAAUGACCUCUGCCUCUUCAU